RNAcentral lists this long non-coding RNA (258 nucleotides) under Manihot esculenta (cassava). RNAcentral describes it as "long non-coding RNA (MESC_LNC000004)". Lineage: Eukaryota; Viridiplantae; Streptophyta; Magnoliopsida; Malpighiales; Euphorbiaceae. The record is from RNAcentral.
CAAAGGGCAAAUACAUCAUGAGAUGAGUUGGCUUCCAUAACAUUAUAAAACAUUUUGAUCAUGUAAUAAAAGGGAUACCUCAAUACAUAAUGUCAAGCACAAUAUCUAAUCCUCAAUAUCAUUACACAUAACAUAACUAUAACAUACUGAAAUCUCUUACAUUACAUCAUAAUACAACUGUCAUGUCCACAAACUAACUAUUACAUACACUCUUCAUAUCUCUGGCUAACCUCCUGGUCUACCCUGUACCUGCACAUC